This 1523-nucleotide ribosomal RNA is filed under the name Clostridioides difficile. RNAcentral's name for it is "partial 23S ribosomal RNA". It matches the Rfam family "Bacterial large subunit ribosomal RNA", at positions 1 to 1535 of the family's 2925-position model. Lineage: Bacteria; Bacillati; Bacillota; Clostridia; Peptostreptococcales; Peptostreptococcaceae. The record is from RNAcentral.
GGUCAAGUUAUUAAGGGUGCAGGGCGGAUGCCUUGGCACUAGGAGCCGAUGAAGGACGUGAUAAGCUGCGAUAAGCUUCGGGGAGUUGCACGUAAACUUUGAUCCGAAGAUUUCCGAAUGAGGAAACUCACUUAGAGUAAUGUCUAAGUAUCAUUAAGUGAAUACAUAGCUUAAUGAGGGGAACUCAGGGAACUGAAACAUCUAAGUACCUGAAGGAAGAGAAAGAAAUUCGAUUCCGUAAGUAGCGGCGAGCGAACGCGGAUUAGCCCAAACCAAUAAAGUUUUCUUUAUUGGGGUUGCGGACAUAUCAUAACGAAGAGGUAUCGUAAUUGAAGAGGUUUGGAAAGACCCACCACAGAAGGUAAUAGUCCUGUAUGUUAAACGAGAAGACUUUAGAUAUGAUCCAGAGUACCACGGGACACGUGAAACCCUGUGGGAAGCAGGAGGGACCACCCUCCAAGGCUAAAUACUACCUAGUGACCGAUAGCGUAUAGUACCGUGAGGGAAAGGUGAAAAGAACCCCGGGAGGGGAGUGAAAUAGAACCUGAAACCCUGCACUUACAAGCUGUGGAAGCACAUUUCUUGUGUGACCGCGUACUUUUUGUAGAACGGGCCAACGAGUUACGUUAAGUAGCAAGGUUAAGCACUUAAGGUGCGGAGCCGUAGCGAAAGCGAGUUUUAACUGAGCGUUCAGUUACUUGACGUAGACCCGAAACCGGGCGACCUACCCAUGAGCAGGAUGAAGCGAAAGUAAAAUUUCGUGGAGGUCCGAACCCACGAGCGUUGAAAAGCUCGGGGAUGACUUGUGGGUAGCGGUGAAAUUCCAAUCGAGCCCGGAGAUAGCUGGUUCUCCCCGAAAUAGCUUUAGGGCUAGCCUCAAGGUGAGAGAUACGGAGGUAGAGCACUGAAUGUCCUAGGGGGUAUUGCACCUACCGAAGACUAUCAAACUCCGAAUGCCGUCAUCUUAUACUUGGGAGUCAGACUGUGGGUGAUAAGAUUCAUAGUCGAAAGGGCAACAGCCCAGAUCGUCAGCUAAGGUCCCUAAAUGUAAGUUAAGUGGUAAAGGAUGUGGGAUUGCACAGACAACCAGGAUGUUGGCUUAGAAGCAGCCACUCAUUCAAAGAGUGCGUAAUAGCUCACUGGUCGAGUGAUCCUGCGCCGAAGAUUUCCGGGGCUAAAACUUACUACCGAAGCUACGGCAUCAGUAAUGAUGGGUAGGGGAGCUUCCCAUACGGGUUGAAGCAUGACCGUAAGGACAUGUGGACAGUAUGGGAGUGAGAAUGUUGGCAUGAGUAGCGAGAUGUGGGUGAGAAUCCCACAGGCCGUAAACCCAAGGUUUCCAGGGGAAGGUUCGUCCGCCCUGGGUUAGUCGGGACCUAAGCUGAGGCCGAAAGGCGUAGGUGAUGGACAACAGGUUGAUAUUCCUGUACUACCGAUAACCGUUUGAGAGAAGGGAUGACACAGUAGGAUAAGCUAAGCACACUGUUGGUUAUGUGUGCCCAAGCAUUGAGGCAGUCAAAGUA